UUUUUUUAAGGUUGUUGCAUGAUAUUACAAUACAACAGUUACAUGAAAUCAUUGCUCAUAUAGAUAGAGCAUAAGUUUCAUAUUUAAUAUUUAAGAAGACUUUUUUUAUUUCUAAUUACUUUGUGUUGCUAGUAAAUGUGGACAUUCUGAUGGCUUCAUACAUGAUAUUACCCACUACAAAUAUAAUAAUUUAACAAAAAGAAAUGAUUGAGAUGAUAUUACCCAGCUAAAAAGUAUAAUAAUUUAACAAAUAUAAGAUUAAGUAAAGAAAAGUGGCUAGUUAUCGGGGAAGGGCAUUUUUACAGCCGUAUUUGCCUCUGCGUCCGUAUCAAUUUCAAAGAUGAAUCUUGAACGCAAUCAAGAGGUAGACACAUGUCGUAAAACUGUCACAUUUAUUUUAAAAAUGAACAUAGUUAAGGAGUGUACAUAUUUCGAAAAUAUCUGCAUGACUUUAGAGAUAGAAAGAAAGGGCCAAAAGUUACAACUCCUUACCUAAGAGAAACAUAGAAUUCUUCAAAUGUUUCAUCUUCAUAUUAACCUAGAGGGAGCAACACGAUCAUAGUUACAGAGUCAGUCACUAUUUUCAGACGUAAAUUAUUGGUUUUUUUUACGAGGUGAAUUUAAGUAUACUUACUAUUGGUCUCUUUCAAAAUAUCAAAUAUCAAGUUAAAGUUAAAAUUAAUAGCAACCUCUAAAUUCUUUAACUCUCUUCCAAUCUUCUAAUUUGAAAAGAAAAAUAUUAUAAUUAACUCAUCACACAUUAAUAGCAAGCUCUGGAUCUUUUAACUCUCUUCCAAUUUUUUAAUUUGAAAGCAAAAAUAUUAUAAUUAAUUCAUCACACAUAAAUAAAGUAGGUAAUAAAAUAAGUAUCUUCUACAAAAUAAAAUGCCAAAUGCAUGUUAUUUUUUAAUAUUUAUUUCAAAAUAUACAAAUUUUAUGAUCAUACUUUUAAAAGCUCAAAUUAUUUAAAACUAUAGGUGAUAUUAAAUAUGAAAAAGGUUUAUAUAGAGCCGAUGCUCUAAACAAUCAAAUUAGAGCGCAUGAUAUAUUUCAAAAAAAAUAAAAUUCCUAGAAACAAUGCAUCUUCUACAAAAUAAAAUGCCGAAUGCAUGUUAUUUUUUAAUAUUUAUUUCAAAAUAUACAAAUUUUAUGAUCAUAUUUUUAAAAGCUUAAAUUCUUUAAAACGAUAGGUGAUAUUAAAUAUGAAAAUAGUUUAUAUAGAGCCAAGGCUCUAAACAAUCAAAUUAGAGCACACCUCAAAAUUUUCAUUAGAAGAAGUUGUUUUGAUGUCCAAAUAUCCUCAAAUUGAUCAUCUCAACAUCAAGAUGCAUGGAUAUGAGAAAAAAAUGGAUUUUGAAUUUGAAAAUAGUACAUCUUUUAAUGUAUUUUUGGACCAUGAAUUUUUGAGAUUUUUAAGGUUUUGUAGAUAUGCUCGAUCUACAUUGUCUUUUAAACUUUAAGUUUUACAAUUAGAGAUGAAAAUACAUUUUAAGGCUAUCACCAAGAUUUCCAGUAUUGAAAUCACUUUCUUGAUACUAUUGAAGUUUGAAGAUGCGUUCAACUCUAAAUGUUUAGAGCCUCGGCUCUAUACAAACUGUACCUAUUGAAUAUAAUUAUAUUUAAAAUUUAUAAUUAAAAAUAAAAUGAAUUAAUAAACCAAUUAAUCUGAGGAUGUUUUUAGAGUUAUAAUAUAUUAUUAACAAGGUAUAACAAAGUAAAUUUCUUUCAUGAAUAUCAUAAUUAUAUGUUUUUAAUUAUAAAUAUUUUAAUAUGUAUUUAUUUUAUUAUAAUUUUGUUAAUAUUAAUGUAAUAAUUCAUGUAUUAUUAUUUUUAGACAUGAAAACUAAUUUUCAAGUGGUGAGAUAAAAAUAUUUGAGAAAGAAAGAGAGGAACGUUGAAAAUGUUUACUGUAAAAAAAAGAAAGAUGGCUUUAACAUAUAUAGGAAUAAAUAUGAUGGAAGAUAUCGGGUAUGAAUAUGAUAGAAGAUAGCGGUCUUUUUACCAAGUAAAUUCAAUUGUAUUUACCAUUAACCUCCUCCAAUGUUCUAAGUUAAAGUUUAAAUUAAUAGCAACCCUUCACUCUUUAACUUUCUUCUAAUUUUCUAAUUUUAAAAAAUAUAUAUUAUAAUUAACUAUUAUCCAAGUUCAAAUGGAUCUUGAACUCUAUAGCUUUGUUUAGUAUAAUCUUGAAAUCUAAAAUUUGACAAUUGAAAUUAAAAUGGUAUUUAGAAUAAAGUACAGGACAUUUGCUUUUUCACAUUUCACAUCGGGCUUAAUGAUCUUGAAUUCUAAAGUUUUAAAAUUGAAGUUAAAAUGGUAUUUGGAAUAAGGCAUUUAUAAAAAGCAUCUAUAAAAGACUAUUCACAUUCAAAGCACGGAUCUAAUCACACAUAAAUAAAGUACCUAAUAGAAAUGACAUCUUCUACGAAUCAAAAUGUCAAAUGCAUGUUACUUUUUAAUAUUUAUUUCAAAAUAUACAAAUUUUAUAACCAUAGUUUUAAAAACUCAAAUUCUUUAAAACUACAAAUGAUAUUAAGUAGCUAUAUAUUAAAAUUUAUAAUUAAAAUAAAAAUAAUUUAACUUGAGGAUGUUUUUAGUAGUUAUAAUAUAUUAUUAAUAAAAUAAUAACAAAGUAAUUAUGAUUUUUUCGUGAAUAUCACAAAUAAAGUAAUAACAAAAUAAUUAUAUUUUUUUUAUAAAUAUCACAAUUAUAUGUUUCUAAUUAUAAAUAUUAUAAUAUGUAUUUAUUUUUUAUUACAAUUUUAUUCAUAUUAAUGUAGUAAUUCAUGUAUUGUAAUUUUAGGACAUGAAUUUUCAUAUUAUGAAAACUAAUUUCAAAGUGAGGAAGUAAAGAUAUUUAUAAAGAAAUUGAAAAGUUCUCCCUCGAAAAAACGAAAGAUAUAGGGGAUAUUGGUUUUUUUACUAAAGAGAAUUCAAGUAUACUUACCAUUGGUCUCCUCCAAUAUUCCAAGUUAAAGUUAAA
Molecule: long non-coding RNA, 2983 nt
Filed under: Amborella trichopoda
Lineage: Eukaryota; Viridiplantae; Streptophyta; Magnoliopsida; Amborellales; Amborellaceae
Description: long non-coding RNA (ATRI_LNC004228)
Source: RNAcentral